CACGUAGGAGGCAAACGUUAUCCGGAUUUACUGGGCGUAAAGCGCGUGUAGGUGGUUCUGUAAGUAGGGCGUGAAAGCUCCUGGCUCAACUGGGAGAGGCCGUUCUAAACUGCAGAGCUAGAGGAUGGUAGAGGAAGGUGGAAUUCCGGGUGUAGCGGUGGAAUGCGCAGAUAUCCGGAGGAACACCAGUGGCGAAAGCGGCCUUCUGGACCACUCCUGACACUCAGACGCGAAAGCUAGGGUAGCAAACGGG
RNAcentral lists this ribosomal RNA (253 nucleotides) under uncultured bacterium. RNAcentral describes it as "partial 16S ribosomal RNA". It matches the Rfam family "Bacterial small subunit ribosomal RNA", at positions 524 to 776 of the family's 1533-position model. The record is from RNAcentral.